AUGUGUCCUUACAUGUUCCGCCGCUCGCCUCCUGCGCCGCCCGCCCCGCAUUCCUGCCCCGCCGGCCCUCCCCUCCCCGCUGCGCACCCGCCCCGGCAGGGCCCCGGGGGGCGGGGCUCCGCCACACUCUGCAGGCACUGGGCGCCGGGCGGGGAGGACCGGGACCCAGCGGGGGCGCUUACCCAACAGUCCAAGCCUUCUGGCCCGCCGUCUGCCGCUUCUUGGAAUCACAGCCCCCCAGGCCUUGGACAGAGGAGAAGAGGCGGGAGAGAGGGGAAGGAGCGUCUUCUAGAUGAACGGUCACUGCUUGCGAGGGGGUGGGUUUGCUCAGCUGGCGCAUUGUGGCACCGCUCGCACAGUGGGCGUCAGACAGCUGCUGGAUGCUUUCCAGGCCGCGGGAGUUCUGGCCUAUUGCCUCAGCCAGGAGCCCSUGUUGGGUUCCUCCCCUAUCGACAGAUUUCCUCCCCCAUGACAGAUUUAAUGAUACUUAAUAAUGGCAGAGAGAAGAUCUCUCUCCCCCGUGCGGGCCCUAGAGAGGCUGUGCAUAGCUGUCCACUGCCUGGACGGCCCACCUUCUCUGCUGCUGGGAGACCUGUAGAGAGUUGCCAGUGCGAACUGGGGAGAGGAUAAUAAAUUAUCAAACAAAAUGAAGAAAGAGCAUUGAAGCCACCCAUCUCUGGCACCACCCCUGACAAGGCAGACCUCCUCCGGGCCUUUGCACCUGCCGUUGUCAGCGCCUGGACCACUCUCCCACACCGCCACCUGGUUCACUUCCCAGUUUACUUCUUCACCUCACUCAGUUCUUUGUUCAGAUAUGACUUUCUGUGCAAGAUGUCACCCAACACCCUGCUUCGAAC
Molecule: long non-coding RNA, 857 nt
Filed under: Urocitellus parryii (Arctic ground squirrel)
Lineage: Eukaryota; Metazoa; Chordata; Mammalia; Rodentia; Sciuridae
Description: lncRNA (ENSUPAG00010009079.1)
Source: RNAcentral